UACAGAGGGUGCAAACGUUGUUCGGAAUUACUGGGCGUAAAGCGCACGUAGGCGGCUUUGUAAGUUAGAGGUGAAAGCCCGGGGCUCAACUCCGGAAUUGCCUUUAAGACUGCAUCGCUAGAAUUGUGGAGAGGUAAGUGGAAUUCCGAGUGUAGAGGUGAAAUUCGUAGAUAUUCGGAAGAACACCAGUGGCGAAGGCGACUUACUGGACACAUAUUGACGCUGAGGUGCGAAAGCGUGGGGAGCAAACAGG
This 253-nucleotide ribosomal RNA is filed under the name uncultured bacterium. RNAcentral describes it as "partial 16S ribosomal RNA". It matches the Rfam family "Bacterial small subunit ribosomal RNA", at positions 524 to 776 of the family's 1533-position model. The record is from RNAcentral.